GAUGAAGAACGUAGCGAAAUGCGAUAAGUAAUGUGAAUUGCAGAAUUCCGUGAAUCAUCGAAUCUUUGAACGCACAUUGCGCCCCCUGGCAUUCCGGGGGGCAUGCCUGUCCGAGCGUCAUUUCUGCCCUCCAGCCCGGCUGGGUGUUGGGCGCUGUCCCCCCGGGGACACGCCCCAAAGGCAGUGGCGGCGCCGCGUCGGGGCCUCGAGCGUAUGGGGCUUUGUCACCCGCUCGGGACGGACUCGUCGGCGCUGGUCUUCCUCCAGGCGACCCUUCGGGGCUCGUCUUCCUUCGGUUGACCUCGGAUCAGGUAGGGUUACCCGCUGAACUUAAGCAUAUCAAUAAGCGGAGGA
RNAcentral lists this unclassified non-coding RNA (354 nucleotides) under soil metagenome. RNAcentral's name for it is "partial contains 5.8S ribosomal RNA, internal transcribed spacer 2, and large subunit ribosomal RNA". The stretch from base 1 to 120 matches the Rfam family "5.8S ribosomal RNA", at positions 35 to 154 of the family's 154-position model. The record is from RNAcentral.